Molecule: long non-coding RNA, 1246 nt
Filed under: Gallus gallus (chicken)
Lineage: Eukaryota; Metazoa; Chordata; Aves; Galliformes; Phasianidae
Description: long non-coding RNA NONGGAT008380
Source: RNAcentral
CUGCGCGUGAGGGGAGGGGCUGAGCGGAAUGGCGCGCGGCGGGCUGAGGGAGCGGCCGUAUCGAUUUUGUGGUGUUUUGCGCGCUGAGUCGAAAUAAAAGUAAAUCCUCUGAAUAUUCAGAUGUCCAUUUCCCGAAUACCAGCACCCGAUUCCUGAUCGAGACUAACCCCCACGUCAGGUACCAUUGUGCUGAAGGGUAAUGGGGCCGUGAGCUGCCAGCUGUGAUCAGACCCUGCACACCCAUCCCACCCCAGGAGAAAGCACCGUGGGCACCACUCAUGCCACUGUGCCACAUCCAUGGGUGACCUCAAGUCCCAUGGUGCCCAGCCUGAACCGUGGCAAAGCCCUGGGUUCAAAGCUCCCUGGGUGCUUUCCCUGGAAAAAACAAGGAGCAAACACCCCAGUAUGCCUCUGUGUGCUUGCAGCUAUGGAUACAUAUGUUCUAUACAGAGUUACGUCCUUUUGGCACCUGGGAUUCCUGCCAUCGCUGCAAUAUGAGCUCUGUCUGAAACUGCAUCCUCAGCCGUGCUGCCUCCACUGCCCUGCGUGUAGGUAUGUGUACACAGGCUAAUGUUCAUCCCCAAACCUCCCCUGAAUGUGUUCAUUGCUGCAACCCCAUGGUAUUCCCCAAUCCUGCCAAAUUUUUGCAAAUCCAAGUUUAUAGCCCAGCCCCGAGGAGGAGGCUGCCUUUAGCCCAGCAAACCUCUGACUGACAACGGGGGGCUUUGUAACAAGCCUACCAGCUUUGCCUUUGCCACCCACCCGUGCGUAGCAAAGAGCUGUUUCUAGGUAAAAAAAAAAAGAAGAAGUUGCUUGCUGAGUCUAUAAUGAGGAUUCUCAAAUGCCGAAGACGUGGAGAGCAGGUUAAAGGAGCAGAGCCUCGCUGCCCAGAAGAGGGAGGGAACGGAUGCAGCCACUCCGGCGCAUUUGCAGAGUGUUAUUGCAGCACGAAGCAUCGCUCUGUGAGCAAAUGCUCCCUUCGCAGCGCUGCAUUCCCCGGGGAAGCUUUAAUAAUUCCUAGGGAGGCUCUGAAGGCUAAUAAAAAAGUGAAUAAAGAAGUCAGCCCCAGCAAUCGGUCUCCUCCUCCUUCCCAGGGAGCCUUAAGCUGCCCUUGUUUGUCUGGCUGCUCAGGUGCAGCUCUGAUUUCCCCAGUUCCUAAAGAAGAAGGAAUUCAGCAGCACGGCAGCCUGCUUUGCUGCGAUGGAUGGUAAUUGUUAAUCUGAUUAAGCUCAAGGUCUCCCAUUUU